UCGUGCUAGAUGGGGAACUAGCGGUGCCCUGAACCAUCUCCGGAUGGCUGACUCGCAACCCGCUCUAGCGAGGUCGAAUUCCUUCUCGAGGGCCGUACGUUUCGGGACUGUUCGCUUCAAGUGGCGAUGAAAGUUGGGUCCGACGCGGCGCAAGCCGAUCAACCCCGCCAGGGUCGGAAGACAGCAACGGUACGUCGUCACUUGCGGGCGCCGUCGGGGCACCUGGCUGGAGCUGGCUGAAGCGUCCAAGCCGGGGCGUCCGUCUCGACAGAAGGUGCACGG
RNAcentral lists this signal recognition particle RNA (282 nucleotides) under Chloroflexota bacterium. Its description in RNAcentral is "Chloroflexi bacterium (freshwater metagenome) signal recognition particle sRNA large type". It matches the Rfam family "Bacterial large signal recognition particle RNA". Rfam says of the family: The signal recognition particle (SRP) is a universally conserved ribonucleoprotein involved in the co-translational targeting of proteins to membranes. Archaeal SRP consists of a 7S RNA and homologues of the eukaryotic SRP19 and SRP54 proteins. In most bacteria, the SRP consists of a 4.5S RNA and the Ffh protein (a homologue of the eukaryotic SRP54 protein). Lineage: Bacteria; Bacillati; Chloroflexota. The record is from RNAcentral.